GACGAACGCUGGCGGCGUGCUUAACACAUGCAAGUCGAACGGAAAGGCCCUGCUUGCGUGGGGUUCUCGAGUGGCGAACGGGUGAGUAACACGUGUGUAACCUGCCCUUGACUUUGGGAUAACUUCAGGAAACUGGGGCUAAUACCGGAUAGGAGCUCCUGCUGCAGGGUGGGGGUUGGAAAUUUUGGGCGGGUGGGGAUGGACGCGCGGCUUAUCAGCUUGUUGGUGGGGUAGUGGCUUACCAGGGCGUUGGCGGGUAGCCGGCCUGAGAGGGUGACCGGCAACAUUGGGACUGGGAUCGGCCCAAGCCUCCUACGGGGGGAAGAGGUGGGAAAUAUGGCAAAAUGGGCGGAGGCCUAAUGAAGCAACGCCGGGUGCGGGAUGACGGCCUUGGGGUUGUAACCCGCUUUCGCAUGUGCCGAAGCGUGAGUGACGGUACUGAGUAAAGAAGCACCGGCUAACUACGUG
This 468-nucleotide ribosomal RNA is filed under the name uncultured bacterium. RNAcentral's name for it is "partial 16S ribosomal RNA". It matches the Rfam family "Bacterial small subunit ribosomal RNA", at positions 28 to 507 of the family's 1533-position model. The record is from RNAcentral.